GGGGGCCCAAACAUGCAAGUCGAACGGAGCUUAUAUUUCAGAAGUUUUCGGAUGGACGAGAGAUAAGCUUAGUGGCCCUUAGGUGAGUAACACGUGAGCAACCUGCCUUUCAGAGGGCCAUAACAGUUGGAAACGACUGCUAAUACCGCAUAACGCUGCGAUGGGGCAUCCCGAUGCAGCCAAAGGAGCAAUCCGCUGAAAGAUGGGCUCGCGGCCGAUUAGCUAGUUGGCGGGGCAACGGCCCACCAAGGCGACGAUCGGUAGCCGGACUGAGAGGUUGAUCGGCCACAUUGGGACUGAGACACGGCCCAGACUCCUACGGGAGGCAGCAGUGGGGGAUAUUGCACAAUGGAGGAAACUCUGAUGCAGCGACGCCGCGUGAGGGAAGACGGUCUUCGGAUUGUAAACCUCUGUCUUUGGGGAAGAAAAUGACGGUACCCAAAGAGGAAGCUCCGGCUAACUACGUGCCAGCAGCCGCGGUAAUACGUAGGGAGCGAGCGUUGUCCGGAAUUACUGGGUGUAAAGGGAGCGUAGGCGGGCGAGAAAGUUGAGUGUUAAAUCUACCGGCUUAACUGGUAGCUGCGUUCAAAACUUCUUGUCUUGAGUGAAGUAGAGGCAGGCGGAAUUCCUAGUGUAGCGGUGAAAUGCGUAGAUAUUAUGAGGAACACCAGUGGCGAAGGCGGCCUGCUGGGCUUUAACUGACGCUGAUGCUCGAAAGCGUGUGGAGCAAACAGGAUUAGAUACCCUGGUAGUCCACGCUGUAAACGAUGAUUACUAGGUGUGGGGGGACUGACCCCUUC
This 800-nucleotide ribosomal RNA is filed under the name uncultured bacterium. RNAcentral's name for it is "bacterial SSU rRNA". It matches the Rfam family "Bacterial small subunit ribosomal RNA", at positions 42 to 841 of the family's 1533-position model. The record is from RNAcentral.